This 486-nucleotide ribosomal RNA is filed under the name uncultured bacterium. Its description in RNAcentral is "partial 16S ribosomal RNA". It matches the Rfam family "Bacterial small subunit ribosomal RNA", at positions 30 to 507 of the family's 1533-position model. The record is from RNAcentral.
AUUGAACGCUGGCGGCAUGCCUUACACAUGCAAGUCGAACGGCAGCACGGGUGCUUGCACCUGGUGGCGAGUGGCGAACGGGUGAGUAAUACAUCGGAACAUGUCCUGUAGUGGGGGAUAGCCCGGCGAAAGCCGGAUUAAUACCGCAUACGAUCUACGGAUGAAAGCGGGGGACCUUCGGGCCUCGCGCUAUAGGGUUGGCCGAUAGCUGAUUAGCUAGUUGGUGGGGUAAAGGCCUACCAAGGCGACGAUCAGUAGCUGGUCUGAGAGGACGACCAGCCACACUGGGACUGAGACACGGCCCAGACUCCUACGGGAGGCAGCAGUGGGGAAUUUUGGACAAUGGGCGAAAGCCUGAUCCAGCAGUGCCGCGUGUGUGAAGAAGGCCUUCGGGUUGUAAAGCACUUUUGUCCGGAAAGAAAUCCUUGGCUCUAAUACAGUCGGGGGAUGACGGUACCGGAAGAAUAAGCACCGGCUAACUACGUG